This 3741-nucleotide unclassified non-coding RNA is filed under the name Hevea brasiliensis (rubber tree). Lineage: Eukaryota; Viridiplantae; Streptophyta; Magnoliopsida; Malpighiales; Euphorbiaceae. The record is from RNAcentral.
AUGUACAAGCCCCAAAACGCUCAAUAGAUGAGAAGAAUGGCCUAACUAGAAACUAAAAUAAUAGAUAAUUGAAGAUAUUUUCAUUUGCUCUUCGUACAUGAAGACUGCAGUUCCCUAUUUAUUUCUCCCAAAUAAAUUUAUGUAGGUCUUUUGAACCGGUGACAACCGAUAAGAGAGAAUUACAAGUCCACUUUCAAUGGAUGAUGAUCUGCAAAAGCUUCCUGCAAUUUCAACCCAAACUAGAUGGAGAAUUUCCAUAUACAACCUAUUAAGGCAAAAGCCUAGAAGAUUAAAUCAUAAUUGUGAAUACACUAAAAUUGAUAUGAACAUCUACCAACUAUAUCUCAUAAUUAAACCCAAGGAAGCAAGAAUUUCCAUUCCUAGCUAUCUCCUCUAUUAAAAUAUACACAAACUACUUGAGUGUGUUCCAGUGACCUCCGAACUUCUUUCAAUAUGAUCCAACAUAUCCAGGAUGUUUCAACCAUUGUUAUUCCCUCUAGAAACAUUCCUGCUUUUAUGGCUUUUGUCAUGUGACACGGAUGGAAUUUUUGAGACCAUCAAUGAGCUUUGCAACCCUUCUAAUAGUCUUGAUGUUGGCUGAAUUCUGCGAUUAGAUCUACGUGGCUCAACAGGAUCAGAGGUUAAUUUUGUAGAAUUACCAUUCAAAGCCUUGUCCUCCUCAAUUUUACUCAACUUUCCACCAGCAGGGGCAAGUUUUCCCUUACUUACCCGUUCAGGUUUAGCAUUUGAAGUGUGCAUUUUCUUAGAAGAAACAGUAUCUGAUGUAGGAGCGAGUGCAGAAAAUAAGAUUGGGCCCUCUGUUGCUCCAUCAGAACUAGAAAAUGAUUGAAAGGCCAUCAGGUUCUGCUUUUCCAAAGUGUUUACACCAUGGUUUACCGAAUCCUUGGCCUUCAUAGUAUUAUCUGCAACAGCACCAUCAUCAGGAGCAGAAACUGCAGUGCUUGAUAGGUUGUCCUUCUGAGGAAUUGUUCUAACAGAAACGUUCUGUGGUUUUGCAGACUUAAGAACCCUGGGCUUGGGAAUGGCUGCUCGCCUUUCAUUUGAUUCAGUCUUAGAACUUUUCCAUCCCCGGGAUCCUGCUCCUUGAGGCAUCAAAUAUUUUGUUAACUUGACUGAAUCAUUUGGUUCAUUGAUUUGACUACUCCGAUCUGCAACAUAAUGCUUACUAACUUCCAUAAAUUUCCUUUUCUUUCCAGGCUUGGGUACACCAAAUAUUACUCUAGAUCCUUCCUUCUGCAACCCAGUCCUUGUCAUUCUCAGUGAAUCAGACCUAUUCUCAUAUCUCGUGCUCUUGCCGAUAUUGAAUAGUUUUUCAUCAGCUGAUAAAUCAAAUAAUUUUGGAUCAUCAGAUUUAUCAGAUUCCACUGCAUCAAUACUUUUUGAAGUCUUAUCCUUCUCCUUGGCCUCCACAACAGGGCUAUGCACCCUUGGUCGCUUCAUUUGUGGGGUAUCACCCCCUUGAGAAGAUUGCUUAUUCUCUCCUGAAUUGGACCAUUCAAUCCAUUCCUCAUCUUUCCAUAUGAGAGAGGGCCGAAGUUCCCAUGGUUUAAGUAUUGUCGUUUCUCCUUGAGCUGGAAAAUUGACAGUUACCACAGGCUCAUCUUUCUUGCUCUUUUCGGUUACUACUCCCUCCCACCAGCUAUCUUGUAUCCAUGCAUCAACUCUAUCACCAAUAGACCAAUCAUAGUCCCCCAUUGCAGCUCUCCUUCUCUUCCUUGUGCCUUCAAAUGGCAUGGCAGUAUGAGGACGGGCAACGCGCAUUUUGGGUGCCUCAUCUCCUUCACCUUCAAGUGGAACCCACUCCUUUAGCUUUUCUGAGCCUUCACCUGAUGUAAGCUCGGUGUAACUCACAUAAGCCUUCCCGUCCUUUAAACUCAAAACUUUUGCUGGGAACCAAGCUGCCUUAAAUCCACUUCCAUCUUUAAAAACCUCGACAAUGGAAUUCUCCUUAAUGCUAUUCUCUUUUAGAGUUUCCACCUUUCCAUACUCGUUCUGAACAAUGGAACAUCUGGCUCCAUUCUCAGAUUCAGGGACCACCCCAAUAGUUUUGGCCAAAUCAGAAGCCUUGCGGCCCUUUUGCCCUUUGGCAACCUUUGCAGUGGACGCACAAGAGCCAGAGACACCAUCUAAAAAUCUCCCAUGUUCCUCGCUAGAUAUGUCUCUAGAAGCAGGUGACUUCCCAAGGUCAGUUAUCUGAUUUUCUUUCUCAUCUGAUGCAAUCUCCUUUAACUGCCCGGUAGAAGUAUCUGAACCUCCACCACUGUCCACAUUCACAUUUUCUCUACCAAUGUCAUUUGAUUUUGAAACCGGCUCAGAAGUUACUUGUCCUACUUUCCAAUAACCCCCUGGACCAGCAGCUACAAGCUCACUCAACGGCAAAGGAUCACCCAUAGCCACUAUUUUCCCAGCUUGAGACACAGCUUCAGCCGCCAACUCUGCAGCUUUUACUAUGGCAUCCAUAUUUUCAGCUCGUUUUGAUGCAGCCAAAGCAGUUUCAACCCUCCUUCUAGCAGCCUCCCUUGCAGCAACGAGAACUGAAUUGGAACUGUUUGUUCCAUCUCCACCCUUCAAAAUGGAUGCAGGUGUAGCCUUACCCAAAUUUUUCAUGCCAUCAGAAAGAGAGAGAACAUUCAUUUGACUAGGGUUCUGGUGACCACCACAAACCACUGCUUCUUCAGCCAUUAGUUUAGCUUGCAAUGCAGCAUUCGAUGCAACCUUGGCAGCUGCAGCUGCCGCCUUUGCAACAGCAGCGGCAGCUGCUAUUGCAACGGCUGCAGAAGCUAGCUUGGUUUCAUCAUCUGGUAACAACCCAGAAUUUCUCUGCUUAGCUAACUGGUCCCAUAUUUCCUCGCUCUGACUAGCAGCAGAAGCAGCAAGAGCAGCAGCAUCCUCUGCCUGCAGCCUAGCCUCCUUUAUCUUACCAAGGGUAUCCUCUGAUAAAAUUGACCUUGGUUCCAUAUUCUGGCUCCCUUUUGUAAGAUCCGAAGAAGUAGGAGUUGCAGAUUUAAUGAAUUUCUCUGUGGGGGCUUUAGAAAUAAAGCCAACAGAAGUUGUGAUGGCAAUGGAAGUAGACAAAGGAUUAGCAACAACAGAAGUAAUAAUUGGUUCCACAUGAGGUGGAGGUGGCAAAAUAUUCAUCCCAGGAUUCUCAGAAGCUGAAGUCUUUUUUCUUUUUCUAGGUUUUGGAUCAGCAGAAGUUAGAUUGCCCGAUGAUGUUACCAUUUUCGUAUCAAGCACAGAAGUUGUCCCAGUAAAAACACUAGCAGAGGCUCCACUCUGAACCAUGGGACUUGUCAGCUUUGCACCAGAUAAAUGGGGCACAGAUGAUUCUUUUACAGGUGUCAAUUGAACAGUUUCAGUGAUAGGCGAUUGCACAGAAAAACGACCACUUACGUCAAGAGUAGAAGUCUGUGGAGAUGCAACCCAAGGGCCACCAAAGGGAGCCUGAGAUAGCCAAGAAGGGCUAUGUCCAACAAAAUUCCUGAUAACCGGAGCCUGAUGAGGAUGCAAAGGCGAAAGUGCCUGCUGAUAAUCAGUAACUGGGCCCCUUGGCAUAGCACUUGUUUGCAGAGUGUCACCAGGAGUAGGCAUACCCCAAAGUGGUGAAGAGAGGGAUACAAUGGGAUUCACAAUUGUAGGAGUACCCUUGCUGCUGCCUCGGACAACAGGUGAGGAGACUACUUUACUUUGAUGUGCACUUUGUUUAAUUGAUUGCUCGGU